Molecule: non-coding RNA, 912 nt
Organism: Nothobranchius furzeri (turquoise killifish)
Lineage: Eukaryota; Metazoa; Chordata; Actinopteri; Cyprinodontiformes; Nothobranchiidae
Source: RefSeq, a predicted model, not a curated record
UUACACACGAGCGAAGAAGAAGAACCGAUGGAUACGUGUUUUGAAUAUAACCUUCCUCUGCUAAAAACAACGUUCGAAUUGAGACAUGAUGAGAUUUCAGGAAGAAAUGUCCGGUACAAAAACGGUACGGUAUUAUUUUUUGGAUCGUAAAGGUUUUUUUAUUUCUGCUCCGGGGAGUUUUGAUGAAGCAAUGGAUACGAGCACACACACACACACACACACACACACACACACACACACACACACACACACACACACACACACACACACAACUCUAAACACCCAUUCAUACAUUUGUCUACCUAUACAACAAAGCAAAUUACUAUGUAUUGUUUAUAAACAUUUUUUUUUUCGACCAAUCGCAACCGUUUUCUAUUCAAGAUUUUUUUUUAAACAGCUGUAUAAAAUGUAAACCCGCAUUUUCGGAGUCGUGAUUUGAGGUGUAACAAGCUAAGAUGACGGGUAAGUUUUUAACUCAAGACGCAAAUCUUUUUUUUCUCUUUCUGGUUUAACAUCUUUAUUUUCAGACGCUAUUGUCAUAUCGGACGGCGAGUGGGAAGAAAUUCCUAUUGAGGAAUUAACUUGUAAAACACCGAUCCCUCUGGAUGAUUUGUCUAAAAUUAAUCGCGCGGUCGAGAAUCUGAAAAAGGAGGGGGUUCAACCUUACCCCGGAAGUGAUAACUUUUACCCAACCACGCCUCCAUCCACCAGCCGAACCGUCUUACAUCCGUAUCAGCCCAGCCAUACCGUCAGAUCACACGCGAAUGCGAACGUGAAAGCUGUUCGUUACAGGACCAUCACGCCACAGACGAUCCUCGAAGCUGAGCAAAGGCCGACGGCCUACGCACCCCCAAUAUCUCAGCCCCCACCACCACCUCCAACCCCUUCUCAUGCGCAGACGGAUGGUAACGA